UGCAGAAUCCCGUGAACCAUCGAGUCUUUGAACGCAAGUUGCGCCCGAAGUCGCUAGGCCGACGGCACGCCUGCCUGGGUGUCA
Molecule: ribosomal RNA, 84 nt
Filed under: Crataegus saligna
Lineage: Eukaryota; Viridiplantae; Streptophyta; Magnoliopsida; Rosales; Rosaceae
Description: partial 5.8S ribosomal RNA
Rfam family: 5.8S ribosomal RNA
About the family: 5.8S ribosomal RNA (5.8S rRNA) is a component of the large subunit of the eukaryotic ribosome. It is transcribed by RNA polymerase I as part of the 45S precursor that also contains 18S and 28S rRNA.
Source: RNAcentral